GAUUGAACGCUGGCGGCAUGCCUUCCACAUGCAAGUCGAACGGCAGCACGGGUGCUUGCACCUGGUGGCGAGUGGCGAACGGGUGAGUAAUACAUCGGAACAUGUCCUGUAGUGGGGGAUAGCCCGGCGAAAGCCGGAUUAAUACCGCAUACGAUCCACGGAUGAAAGCGGGGGACCUUCGGGCCUCGCGCUAUAGGGUUGGCCGAUGGCUGAUUAGCUAGUUGGUGGGGUAAAGGCCUACCAAGGCGACGAUCAGUAGCUGGUCUGAGAGGACGACCAGCCACACUGGGACUGAGACACGGCCCAGACUCCUACGGGAGGCAGCAGUGGGGAAUUUUGGACAAUGGGCGAAAGCCUGAUCCAGCAAUGCCGCGUGUGUGAAGAAGGCCUUCGGGUUGUAAAGCACUUUUGUCCGGAAAGAAAUCCUUGACUCUAAUACAGUCGGGGGAUGACGGUACCGGAAGAAUAAGCACCGGCUAACUACGUG
Molecule: ribosomal RNA, 487 nt
Filed under: uncultured bacterium
Lineage: Bacteria
Description: partial 16S ribosomal RNA
Rfam family: Bacterial small subunit ribosomal RNA
Source: RNAcentral